Molecule: ribosomal RNA, 590 nt
Filed under: Penicillium commune
Lineage: Eukaryota; Fungi; Ascomycota; Eurotiomycetes; Eurotiales; Aspergillaceae
Description: eukaryotic LSU rRNA
Rfam family: 5.8S ribosomal RNA (bases 217-369)
Source: RNAcentral
UAACAAGGUUUCCGUAGGUGAACCUGCGGAAGGAUCAUUACCGAGUGAGGGCCCUCUGGGUCCAACCUCCCACCCGUGUUUAUUUUACCUUGUUGCUUCGGCGGGCCCGCCUUAACUGGCCGCCGGGGGGCUUACGCCCCCGGGCCCGCGCCCGCCGAAGACACCCUCGAACUCUGUCUGAAGAUUGAAGUCUGAGUGAAAAUAUAAAUUAUUUAAAACUUUCAACAACGGAUCUCUUGGUUCCGGCAUCGAUGAAGAACGCAGCGAAAUGCGAUACGUAAUGUGAAUUGCAAAUUCAGUGAAUCAUCGAGUCUUUGAACGCACAUUGCGCCCCCUGGUAUUCCGGGGGGCAUGCCUGUCCGAGCGUCAUUGCUGCCCUCAAGCCCGGCUUGUGUGUUGGGCCCCGUCCCCCGAUCUCCGGGGGACGGGCCCGAAAGGCAGCGGCGGCACCGCGUCCGGUCCUCGAGCGUAUGGGGCUUUGUCACCCGCUCUGUAGGCCCGGCCGGCGCUUGCCGAUCAACCCAAAUUUUUAUCCAGGUUGACCUCGGAUCAGGUAGGGAUACCCGCUGAACUUAAGCAUAUCAAUAGGC